This 640-nucleotide long non-coding RNA is filed under the name Ursus maritimus (polar bear). RNAcentral describes it as "lncRNA (ENSUMAG00000022187.1)". The record is from RNAcentral. Lineage: Eukaryota; Metazoa; Chordata; Mammalia; Carnivora; Ursidae.
AGCAAGCCCCGCCCCUGUGGACCGCAGUCGUGCGCAGGGACUGUGGUGGGAGCCUUGGAGUGGCCUGUGUUCCUUCUCCCUGGAGAGGGCAGCUACCUGGGGCUCAAAGCAAGCCCGGAGGGAUCUUUGGCAUUGCAGGGGCUGCAUUAAGCAAUGAGAAAGUCAGACAGCGUCUCCUCUGGUCAGAGCCAUCCUCCUCCUCCGGGUUUCCAGGGAACCUCGCCCAUGUCGCACCAGUGAGCUCCUCACAGCAGAAUGAUUCACUGAGUACUCCUUAAGGUUCUGUACACUGGACGUGGGACUGUGGCGAGUUGUGGGUGCCCCAGCCGCGUCCUCCCGGCGCCGCAGACUCUGGAGAAAUUCCCCUGCAAUGGAGGGGACCAGAAGUGGAGAUCACCGGAACCUGUCCGCAGGAGGAUCUGGAGUUCACCCGCAGGGCAGCUGUCAGCAGCUCCAGAGACGGAUGAAUGAACACGUAGAGGGGUGGGGAGCGAAGGUGCUGGGGAGGGAGCCGUCUUCAAAUAAAAAUGAAAGGAACAUGCUGGACAAAAUAAUGGGGCUGUUUAAUAAUAAGUCCUGCCCAAGACACCUCUGCCCUAAGACCCAGCCCUCCUGCCCCUGUCCCCGGCCCUGAAGUUUC